This 465-nucleotide ribosomal RNA is filed under the name uncultured bacterium. Its description in RNAcentral is "bacterial SSU rRNA". It matches the Rfam family "Bacterial small subunit ribosomal RNA", at positions 338 to 795 of the family's 1533-position model. The record is from RNAcentral.
CCUACGGGUUGCACCAGUGGGGAAUAUUGCACAAUGGGCGCAAGCCUGAUGCAGCCAUGCCGCGUGUAUGAAGAAGGCCUUCGGGUUGUAAAGUACUUCCAGCGAGGAGGAAGGCAUUAAGGUUAAUAACCUUGGUGAUUGACGUUAGUCGCAGAAGAAGCACCGGCUAACUCCGUGCCAGCAGCCGCGGUAAUACGGAGGGUGCAAGCGUUAAUCGGAAUUACUGGGCGUAAAGCGCACGCAGGCGGUCUGUCAAGUCGGAUGUGAAAUCCCCGGGCUCAACCUGAGAACUGCAUUCGAAACUGGCAGGCUAGAGUCUUGUAGAGGGGGGUAGAAUUCCAGGUGUAGCGGUGAAAUGCGUAGAGAUCUGGAGGAAUACCGGUGGCGAAGGCGGCCCCCUGGACAAAGACUGACGCUCAGGUGCGAAAGCGUGGGGAGCAAACAGGAUUAGAUACCCGCGUAGUC